RNAcentral lists this ribosomal RNA (460 nucleotides) under uncultured bacterium. Its description in RNAcentral is "partial 16S ribosomal RNA". It matches the Rfam family "Bacterial small subunit ribosomal RNA", at positions 338 to 795 of the family's 1533-position model. The record is from RNAcentral.
CCUACGGGAGGCAGCAGUGAGGAAUAUUGGUCAAUGAGCGAGAGUCUGAACCAGCGAAGUAGCGUGAAGGAUGACUGCCCUCUGGGUUGUAAACUUCUUUUAUAUGGGAGUAAAAUGUUCCACGUGUGGGAUUUUAUAUGUACCAUAUGAAUAAGGAUCGGCUAACUCCGUGCCAGCAGACGCGGUAAUACGGAGGAUACGACGGUUAUCCGGAUUUAUUGGGUUUAAAGGGAGCGUAGGGGGAUUGGUAAGUCAGUUGUGAAAGUUUGCGGCUCAACCGUAAAAUUGCAGUUGAAACUGGCAGUCUUGAGUACAGUAGAGGUGGGCGGAAUUCGUGGUGUAGCGGUGAAAUGCUUAGAUAUCACGAAGAACUCCGAUUGCGAAGGCAGCUCACUGGACUGCAACUGACACUGAGGCUCGAAAGUGUGGGUAUCAAACAGGAUUAGAUACCCUGGUAGUC